This 466-nucleotide ribosomal RNA is filed under the name uncultured bacterium. RNAcentral describes it as "bacterial SSU rRNA". It matches the Rfam family "Bacterial small subunit ribosomal RNA", at positions 32 to 507 of the family's 1533-position model. The record is from RNAcentral.
AAUCAACGCUGGCGGCGUGCCUCAGACAUGCAAGUCGAACGAUUAAAGCUCUCUUCGGAGAGUGCAUAGAGUGGCGCACGGGUGAGUAACACGUAAGUAAUCUACCUUCGAGUGGGGAAUAACGUCCGGAAACGGGCGCUAAUACCGCAUAAUGCAGCGGCAUCGCAAGAUGACAGUUGUUAAAGGAGCAAUCCGCUUGAAGAGGAGCUUGCGGCAGAUUAGCUAGUUGGUAGGGUAAUGGCCUACCAAGGCUACGAUCUGUAACCGGUCUUAGAGGACGGUCGGUCACACUGACACUGAAUAACGGGUCAGACUCCUACGGGAGGCAGCAGUCGGGAAUUUUGGGCAAUGGGCGAAAGCCUGACCCAGCAACGCCGCGUGAAGGAUGAAGUAUUUCGGUAUGUAAACUUCGAAAGAAUAGGAAGAAUUAAUGACGGUACUAUUUAUAAGUCCGGCUAACUACGUG